UGGGGAAUUUUGGACAAUGGGCGAAAGCCUGAUCCAGCCAUGCCGCGUGCGGGAAGAAGGCCUUCGGGUUGUAAACCGCUUUAGUCCGGGAAAAAGGGAUGGUGUGUUAAUACCAUGCUGUCUUGAUGGUACCGGAAGAAUAAGCACCGGCUAACUACGUGCCAGCAGCCGCGGUAAUACGUAGGGUGCGAGCGUUAAUCGGAAUUACUGGGCGUAAAGCGUGCGCAGGCGGUCCGUUAAGACAGUUGUGAAAGCCCCGGGCUUAACCUGGGAACUGCGAUUGUGACUGGCGGGCUAGAGUGUGGCAGAGGGGGGUGGAAUUCCACGUGUAGCAGUGAAAUGCGUAGAGAUGUGGAGGAACACCGAUGGCGAAGGCAGCCCCCUGGGUCAACACUGACGCUCAUGCACGAAAGCGUGGGGAGCAAACAGGAUUAGAUACCCUGGUAGUCCACGCCCUAAACGAUGUCGACUGGUUGUUGGGGGGGUAACCUCUUAGUAACGAAGCUAACGCGUGAAGUUCUCA
Molecule: ribosomal RNA, 523 nt
Filed under: uncultured beta proteobacterium
Lineage: Bacteria; Pseudomonadati; Pseudomonadota; Betaproteobacteria
Description: bacterial SSU rRNA
Rfam family: Bacterial small subunit ribosomal RNA
Source: RNAcentral